GGGUAUGGACUUAGGAGAAAACUGGGAUCUAUACAGUACGAUCAUUAUAGGUUGAUCUCAUCCCGGGAACAUCAAGCCAGGGACUUUACACAGUCCCGUGCGUCCUCAUCUAAAGGAGAAAACUGGUUCUAGAAGAGACUAUGGUAUGUGCCUAUUCCACCAAAGGUUCGUGUAUUUUGGUGGCGUGUCCUGCAUGAGUAUAUCCCGUCGCGAGCGAAUCUGCAUAGGAAGCAUAUUG
RNAcentral lists this long non-coding RNA (238 nucleotides) under Setaria viridis. RNAcentral's name for it is "long non-coding RNA (SVIR_LNC000394)". Lineage: Eukaryota; Viridiplantae; Streptophyta; Magnoliopsida; Poales; Poaceae. The record is from RNAcentral.